GCCGGUGUGGCUCAGUGGUUUGAGCGCCGACCUCUGAACCCGGGAGGUCACGGGUUCGAUUCCCGAUCAAGGGCA
This 75-nucleotide transfer RNA is filed under the name Myotis brandtii (Brandt's bat). It matches the Rfam family "tRNA". From Rfam's summary of the family: Transfer RNA (tRNA) molecules are approximately 80 nucleotides in length. Their secondary structure includes four short double-helical elements and three loops (D, anti-codon, and T loops). Further hydrogen bonds mediate the characteristic L-shaped molecular structure. tRNAs have two regions of fundamental functional importance: the anti-codon, which is responsible for specific mRNA codon recognition, and the 3' end, to which the tRNAs corresponding amino acid is attached (by aminoacyl-tRNA synthetases). tRNAs cope with the degeneracy of the genetic code in two manners: having more than one tRNA (with a specific anti-codon) for a particular amino acid; and 'wobble' base-pairing, i.e. permitting non-standard base-pairing at the 3rd anti-codon position. Lineage: Eukaryota; Metazoa; Chordata; Mammalia; Chiroptera; Vespertilionidae. The record is from Rfam by way of RNAcentral.